RNAcentral lists this ribosomal RNA (115 nucleotides) under uncultured bacterium. RNAcentral's name for it is "partial 16S ribosomal RNA". It matches the Rfam family "Bacterial small subunit ribosomal RNA", at positions 1360 to 1482 of the family's 1533-position model. The record is from RNAcentral.
CGGUGAAUACGUUCCCGGACCUUGUACACACCGCCCGUCAAGCCAUGGAAGCUGGGUGUACCUAAAGUCGAUAACCGCAAGGAGUCGCCUAAGGGUAAAACUAGUAACUGGGGCU